GGAAGGAAGGAAGGAAGAGAAUCUAGUACAAGGGAAUUCUUGGAAAUAACAGUUGUGUUAGGCUGGUAAGAUUAUAGGUCAUUUUUGUUGCUUUGUUCUGUUUUCCAAACUUUUCAUUACAUGGCUUUGUCGUUAUUUUAGCAGGAACAAAACCCUCACUGCUGCAGGGUGGUAUUCUUUCCACUCCCCAGAAUCCUGCUGCUUCGUGUUGAAGAGCUAGUACCCCGACUGUCCAUUCCUCACUCCAAGGAAUAGGCCCAAGGGGUUGCUUGGAUGGUGGGAGAUUGCUACUGGUGACAUGAAACGGCGGCGGGGCCGGGAAGAGCGCAAAACAUUAGAGUACCCCUAAACGCUUAAAAUGUCUUAGUGAGGAGACAUUUAUGGAUCCCCAUCGCCUGGCUUGGUGCUGCUGGAACACAGUGGCAGCAAACCCCAGUCCCUACCCUGCCCUUGCGCCAGACUCCUGUGGGUUCAGAGGCGAGGUGCAGCACGCAGAGGCGGGGUGGGGGUGUCCUCAAGGAGGCCUGAGCAGGGGCCUGGCCAGGUCAGGCCCUGUAUGCAGUGGCCAACUUUGCCAGUAGUCAUUAGGCAUGUCUAAGGCUUGAAUCCUUAUUAGUCCCCACCUAUCUAUCCAGAAUCUUUGUGGUGGAAAGAUACUGCUAAUGAAUACAAAGUCGACUAACUGCUCAACACAUGUUUUGGUCAUCCAAACUCAAGAGAACCAAGUUCUGGUUCUAGGUCUGCCAUUAGCUAGCUGAGAGAACUUGGGAAAAAUCACUCUAUCUUCUGGGCCUCAGUCUCACCAAUCUAUAAAAUGGGGAGAAUCAUAAUAGUUAUAAAUAAUAUCUGUCCCAACUACCUUAUGGAGUUUUUAGAGAAUCAGGUGAUAUAGUAACAGGAGAAAAGAGACAGAGACAGCCAAUAUGGUCUUUGCACAUCUGAGUGUGCUGCUUCAACACGAAGCAGCAGGAUUCUGGGGAGUGGAAAGGAAGUGUUUUUAAAAAACACUUUAAAAGUAUAAAGGAGUCAGGCAUGAUGGCACACACCUAUCAUCCCAGUGACUCAGGAGGCUGAGCCAGGAGCAUCAUAAGUUCAAAGCCAGCCUCGGCAAUUUCAUGAGAUCCUGUUUCAAAGAUAAAUAAUAAAAAGGAUUGGGGAUGCAGCUCAACGAUAGGGCACUUUCCUAGCAUGUAUGAGGCCUGGGUUCAAUCCCUACUACCAAAAAAAAAAAAGUAUUAAAAGGAUGUCAACUAAUGAAUGAAUAAACAACAUAUUUUCUAUCAAUACAAUCAAACAUUAUUCAGCCAUAAAAGGACUGAAGUACUGAUACAUGCUACAAGAUGGAUGAAUCUUGAAAAUGUGUAACAGAAACCAAUCAGACACAAAAGAUUGUGUAUCUUAUCAUAUGAUAUUUAAAUUAAAUAUCCAAAAUAGGCAAGUCCAUAGAGACCAAAUGCUGAUUAGUGGUUUCCAGAGGUGGAGCAGAUAGGAAAAGAGAGUGAUAGGGUUUCCUCGUGAGGUGAUGAAAAUAUUCAGGAGCUAGACAUUGAUGAAGGUUGCAGCACAGUGUGAAUAUG
This 1577-nucleotide long non-coding RNA is filed under the name Marmota monax (woodchuck). Lineage: Eukaryota; Metazoa; Chordata; Mammalia; Rodentia; Sciuridae. The record is from RNAcentral.